Molecule: signal recognition particle RNA, 300 nt
Filed under: Callithrix jacchus (white-tufted-ear marmoset)
Lineage: Eukaryota; Metazoa; Chordata; Mammalia; Primates; Cebidae
Description: Metazoan signal recognition particle RNA (ENSCJAG00000086277.1)
Rfam family: Metazoan signal recognition particle RNA
About the family: The signal recognition particle (SRP) is a universally conserved ribonucleoprotein. It is involved in the co-translational targeting of proteins to membranes.
Source: Rfam by way of RNAcentral
GCCGGGCGCGGUGGCGCGUGCCUGUAGUCCCAACUACUCGGGAGGCUGAGGCUGGAGAAUCCCUUGAGUUCAGGAGUUCUGGGCUGUAGUGCGCUAUACCGAUCGGGUGUCCGCACUAAGUUCGGCAUCAAUAUGGUGACCUCCCGGGAGCGGGGGACCACCAGGUUGCUUAAGGAGGGGUGAACCGGCCCAGGUCGGAAACGGAGCAGGUCAAAACUCCCGUGCUGAUCAAUAGUGGGAUCGCGCCUGUGAAUAGCCACUGCACUCCAGCCUGGGCAACAUAAUGAGACCCUGCCUCUU